UUUAUUUUUGAGACAGAGAGAGAUAGAGCAUGAACGGGGGAGGGGCAGAGAGAGAGGGAGACACAGAAUCGGAAACAGGCUCCAGGCUCUGAGCCAUCAGCCCAGAGCCCGACGCGGGGCUCGAACUCACGGACCGUGAGAUCAUGACCUGAGCCGAAGUCGGACGCUCAACCGACUGAGCCACCCAGGCGCCCCUCACACUUCCUUUCUCAUCCUACUUAAUCUCAUGGUGAAGGAUCAGCCCCACAGCUAUACCGACGGCUCCAGCUCUUACCUCUGGCUACUCAUGGAAGGCAGCCUCUGGGCUUUUUUGGGAAGGUCAGGGACGUUAUUUUCUGAGGCCUGUUUUCCUGUGCGAGGCUGUCUUCGCCCAGGCAAGGGGUGUUCCUCCUCUGCGCCACACAUUCCGACUUGGUCAGAUCAGAAAGCAGCAAAUCCAGGGGGAAUUUUUUUUUUUUUUUUUUUUUUUUUUUUUAACUGUCUACAGAAUCCCUUGCAUAGCAGAGAGCUCAGGAAGGAAGGCCCUGUUUGGGGACAGAGGUCAGGGGCCCUUCAGAAAGGGUCAGGCCCUCCUCUGCUAAUCCCAAGUCUGCUUGAUUAGUCUCUGAACUGAUGUACCUAGAAUGAACUUUGACACAACCCAAGAAUGUAAUUUAACCCUUGAGCUUUAUUUUCUCUCGUCCCUAAACCAUCAGACUCCUGGGGGAUUUAGAAAGGGGCUGGGGCAGGCAUAGCAAGGAGAGGGUUCGGUGGCUCUUGCUUCCCAGGACAGCUGGCCACUGGGGCUUGCCUGAGCCCCCUGGCGGGAAGCAGGGUCUGGGCGAGGCUUCCCUACUGCUGUCCUGCUAGAAAUAGGGAGAGGGGGGUGUGAUACCCUUCUGCAAAUCUGGAAUCAAACCAGAAAGGUACCUGGCAUCUUACUGCUCUCUCCUCGGGUUUCCAGCUCGCUGGCCCCAGCCAAGUUCGCCAUCACUUUUUGCUGAAGUGAAAAACAGUGGAGAUAUGAAUAUUCCCUGGAGCCACUUUGGAAUACGUUCAAGAAUAGUUUCACAGCGAAACAGGCGAAAGGACAAGAUUGCACAAAGGGCUGGAUCACCCACUUGGAGAGCCGGUUCUAGAAAGAGGACUUUGAUUUCGCGCGAGGGGCUUCACGCGCAGAGGAAGAAGGGAGUGGGCAGCGUUGGGGCGGAGGGGACAGAGGCCUGCUACCUGUCCAGGAGGUCCCCCUGUGCACAGUGACAGGCUGUCAGGGGGACAGCUUAGUAAACGGGUCAUGAGCGGUCUGGCAGCCUUCCAACCCUCCUUGUACCUGAGACAAAAAGGCAGGCCUGGCAAAACUAUUUAGGUAAUUUCCUAGUGCAUUUACCACUUCACAGACCCCACGCUACCCGAGAAUGGGGGUCUUGAAAAGAAAUAAAGCCAUCUAAAAUUUGUCCAACUAUCUUAUUACAGUAAGUGCUGAAGUAGGUGCAGUUUAUUUUUUUAUGUUUAUUUAUUUUUCAGAAAGAGAGAGACAGACAAGGUGUGAGUGGGGGAGGGGCAGAGAGAGAGAGAGGGAGAGAGAGAGGGAGGGAGGGAGACACAGAAUCCGAAGCAGGCUCCAGGCUCUGAACUGGUCGGGCUUGAACUCAUGAACUGCGAAAUCAUAACCUGAGCCGAAGUCGGAUGCUUAACCCGCUGAGCCACCCAGGCACCCGUGAACCGGCCUUCCUGCUCUUUUCACACGUAUUGGAGGCCUCAGGGCCUUUGCGCGUGUAAUUCCUUCGGCCAGGAGUGCCCCGACCGCUCCCUGAGCCCAUUAUCCCUCCGGAUGUUGACAGCCUUCACCCCUCAGGAAAGCCUGAGGUCCCCUGGGCUGUAGCAGUGGCCAGGAAGAAAACCGCCCCCUCUGAAAGUUGUUUUGGUGACUGUUCUUUGGAGCAUUGUUCUAAAAAUGGGAAAUUACAUAUUGCCGUGCCAAAGGAAACAAACACCUGCACUUAAAGGAAUACCUUCCACGAGGUGGCUCUCAGAGCCCCAGCCAGUUCUGGACGCGGGGCUGUUACACAAGUUUCACUUGGUGCUUUCUUCACUUUUAAGGGGAUCGGGUGCUUCUCCAUUCGUAACCAGGGUGGGCUUUGGCGACUACGGGGCUCCGGGGGCUUUGUCUUUGACUCAUUCACUCAAUAAACAUCUAUCGAGCAUC
Long non-coding RNA from Neofelis nebulosa (Clouded leopard), 2185 nucleotides. RefSeq lists it as uncharacterized. Lineage: Eukaryota; Metazoa; Chordata; Mammalia; Carnivora; Felidae. The transcript is spliced from 3 exons. The record is from RefSeq and is a predicted model, not a curated record.